CCUACGGGAGGCAGCAGUGAGGAAUAUUGGUCAAUGGACGCCAGUCUGAACCAGCCAUGCCGCGUGCAGGAAGACGGCUCUAUGAGUUGUAAACUGCUUUUGUACAAGGGUAAACCUGAAUACGUGUAUUCAGCUGAAAGUACCGUACGAAUAAGGAUCGGCUAACUCCGUGCCAGCAGCCGCGGUAAUACGGAGGAUCCAAGCGUUAUCCGGAUUUAUUGGGUUUAAAGGGUGCGUAGGCGGUCGGAUAAGUUAGAGGUGAAAUGUCGGAGCUUAACUCGGGAAUUGCCUCUAAUACUGUUGAGCUAGAGAGUAGAUGCGGUAGGCGGAAUGUAUGGUGUAGCGGUGAAAUGCUUAGAGAUCAUACAGAACACCGAUUGCGAAGGCAGCUUACCAAGCUAUUUCUGACGUUGAGGCACGAAAGCGUGGGGAGCAAACAGGAUUAGAUACCCGUGUAGUC
RNAcentral lists this ribosomal RNA (460 nucleotides) under uncultured bacterium. RNAcentral's name for it is "partial 16S ribosomal RNA". It matches the Rfam family "Bacterial small subunit ribosomal RNA", at positions 338 to 795 of the family's 1533-position model. The record is from RNAcentral.